AUGCCGGACCAGGUCUACGCCGUCACCGACGCGGAGUUCAAGGAGCAUAUGAAGUUAAUGCUCGUCCACAUCAACGGCCCUGCUCCGCCAUCGGGGGUGCUCCUCCUCGUGAAGUCGGAGUCGACAUCUCCUCCAUGCUCUUCGUCGCCGCUGCCGCGGCGUCCAAAUCAGACGCCACGUGAAGGAAGAGCGGCUCUCGCCCCCGCCCCGCGCGCAUCGUGGAGGAGAGAUGCUCGCCGCCACCCCGACGCUUCGUCAAGGAGGAGCACCGCGUGUGGCCCACCCCGAUGCAUCGUCAAGGAGGAGCGCCGCGCACCGCCGCCCCUGCCCAAGGCACGCGGUCGCCUUCUCCACCACCUCGGCAGCGGUGUCAGCUGUUCGUCCUCCUGGAGUGCCAUGACAGCGCAUGAGUACAUCGACCGGGAGCAGUACCGACGGGACAGCCGCGCGCCGGUCCAAGUUCGCGGACUCGGAUGCCCCCCGCCACACAUCGCGGUGGAUCCGGUCCUGGCGUAUGUCUGA
Molecule: ribosomal RNA, 522 nt
Filed under: Triticum aestivum (bread wheat)
Lineage: Eukaryota; Viridiplantae; Streptophyta; Magnoliopsida; Poales; Poaceae
Description: partial small subunit ribosomal RNA
Source: RNAcentral